UUUAAUUUUGUUAAAAUGUUUAAAUUUUAUUGCAUCUGCUCAGUUGGUUGUCAGUGCUGAAUACCUGUGGGGUGCUAAGAAAAGGAGGGUUUUUCCCUGGUCCCACUUUGACUACUGCUGUUCUAGGUGUGGCUCUUCUACCAGAUGUUUAAAGUACCCAUUGCUUUUCUCAUGGCUGCCUUCAUUAGCUUAUUUUCUGAAGACUGUUAUCCACCAUCUACAAUCUCCCAAGAAUAUUUUAAGGCUUAUUUUCAUUUUCUGUGUUUGAAUGUUUUGCCUACGUGUAUGUAUGUGCACUAUGUUUCUGAAGGGGCACCAGGUACCUGGAACUGGAUUUAUAUAUGAUAAUGACCCACCAUGUGAGUGCUGCGAACCAAACCCAGGUCCUCUGUAAGAGCAGUGCAUGCUUUUAACACCUAGCCAUUUCUCCAUCUCCCCAAGGAUAUUUUUAAUAAUUGCAUAGUAGUCUAUUUUGUAGUUACAUAGAAUUUAUUACCUCCUUGAAUAUUUCGAAUGCUUUUGAAAUUGAAUAGUUUUGAACUUUUUUUUUUUUUUGGUGCUAUGGAAUUAAUACUACAAUGGCCAUUCUCAUAUAAGACCUUGUUCUGUGUUGUUCAUUGUUCCAUGUAUUGUUAUGAACCUAGAAGAGGAUUGUUGAGUCAACAAUUAUAAUAUGCUUACAGAAUAUAAUGUAAGUUUGCUUCUUUACAGAGAAAUUUUUCUUGAAUUUGAUUUUCUUCUGACCUGUCAAGAACACUGUUAUUCAGGAGAUUCUAAAUGAUAAUUAUAUUUGAAGUUUAAAUCAAGUUAUAAUUUAAUUUGAUGAUAGACCUUUUGUAGUCAAGUAUUUGAACAGAUUGUGGCAAAACAGUUUUAGACCUUUUUGUAAAAUAUAGGUGUGCUUGGGUGUCAGCCUGAGAGUUGAAGCUGUUUGACAAGCUCACAAGUCUUGUUCGGUAUUCUUUGCUCCAGUGCCCCCUAGUGAUGGUUUCUACAAUCAGCUUUCACUGUCUUUGCUGAACAAGAAACAUCAUUCUUAUGUUAGCUCUUUGAACCUGUACAAAAGCGCUAGAAAGCUUCUAAAUAAGAGUUGGAACUUAAAGAGUUGCCUUUUUCAUCCUGAGGAUAAAGAAUUUCCAUUUUUUUUCCACUUGAGUGGUCUGUGGGGUUUUUUUUUUCUUUCUUUCUCUUUCAUCCUUCCUUUAUCUAUCUAUUUAAUUAUUUAUUUAUUUAUGGAUACUUUUUUGGUUUUGGUUUUGGUUUUUGGUUUUUCAAGACAGGGUUUCUCUGUGUAGCUCUGGCUGUCCUGGAACUCACUCUGUAGACCAGGCUGACCUUGAACUCAGAAAUCUGCCUGCCUCUGCCUCUGCCUCCGGAGUGCUGGGAUUAAAGGCGUGCGCCACCACCGCCCGGCUUAUGGAUGCCUUUUUAAACUAUUUUUAUUUAUUUAUUUUGAAGUAGGUUCUGUGUGGCUGCAGACACCCUAGAAUUCAUUAUGCAUGCCAGGCUGGCCUUAAACACACAAAGAUCUGGCUGUUUCUGCCUUCCAAACGUACUAUGAUAUGACACCGUCAUGUUCUGUUUUCUAUAGUCUUACAAAUAUGCUAUCCUACCUCACCCUGCCUGUUUCUCUAGAUAACUUUGUAGUCCAAUCUUUACUACUGGACUCUGGCCCUAAUCCCAAUUCUUUAAGUCAAAGCCAACAUUACUUAUAUUACUAUAAAUUGAAUUAUUAACGAGGUACUUGAUUUAAAAUGUGUUUUUUCUUUACAUUUAUGACUAUAGUAUCUCCUCUUCAUCUUCCACCUUAAUAUUUAAACAGACCAAAGAAAAGAGGGGUAGGGCAAAGUCUGCUAGAGUGGCCAUGUCUUUUCAACCUUGUACUUCUUUCCACAAAUUACAUCCCUCGGAAUAAGUUAAAUGUUUUGUUUUUUUUUUUUUUAAGAAGGCAGGCUCUUUAUUUUCUUGUUGUUGUUGUUCCCCCUGUUCCUUCUUUGUAGCUAUGAAGAAGAAAUAGCUUACUUGAAUUCUUGCACAGAAUUCCUAUAGUAACAAGAAUAACUAGCAUCUCUCCACCUUCAGUUACUCUGACGCAAGAGAAAUGGGGCAAGGAUUAAGAGAUAAAAAACUAUCCCUAAAGGAACAAAGUUUCACUAUAAACAAUUUAUUUUACUUUUAGAAUCUUUAUUUCAAUCUUUUUGCUUUUGAAAAUUCUGACUUUAUAAUCUAUCCUAUUAGUUGAAAGUUUACCUUUGGUCAUUCCUUGACUACCAGAGUUUAAUAUUCAUGUUCUUUCCAUGUCCAGUCACAAAUAAUUAUAUGAUUAGUCUAGAAAAGAGAGGCAAGAAAGAUCCAAGUCUUAUAUCCAUUGAUACUUUGCUUCAAUUCCAGCACUUAGCCUUCAGAAAAGCUAAGUUCAAGGCCAACCUAGGCUAUAUAGCAGUGAAACCCUUUCCC
RNAcentral lists this long non-coding RNA (2457 nucleotides) under Mus musculus (house mouse). RNAcentral's name for it is "long non-coding RNA chr9:100916334-100918791". Lineage: Eukaryota; Metazoa; Chordata; Mammalia; Rodentia; Muridae. The record is from RNAcentral.